Molecule: ribosomal RNA, 253 nt
Filed under: uncultured bacterium
Lineage: Bacteria
Description: partial 16S ribosomal RNA
Rfam family: Bacterial small subunit ribosomal RNA
Source: RNAcentral
UACGGAGGGUGCAAGCGUUAUCCGGAUUCACUGGGUUUAAAGGGUGCGUAGGCGGGCAGGUAAGUCCGUGGUGAAAUCUCUGAGCUUAACUCAGAAACUGCCAUCGAUACUAUUUGUCUUGAAUAUUGUGGAGGUGAGCGGAAUAUGUCAUGUAGCGGUGAAAUGCUUAGAUAUGACAUAGAACACCCAUUGCGAAGGCAGCUCACUACACAAUGAUUGACGCUGAGGCACGAAAGCGUGGGGAGCAAACAGG